GUUCAGGAUUUCAGUAUACACAUUGAAAGAUAAAAGCAAAACGAUCCUGUGGAACUAUAUCAUCAACAAACCAUGCAAACAUUAUAUGUUAGCUGCAUUUUUGGAAACACAAUUUGGUGUUCAGAACUGUGUUGUGAAAAAGGGUGAUUACUUUUUGGAUCUUAAUUUGACGGCAUUAAUGAUGAACUAUUUGGGCAACUCGUUCUUCUAUGGCGAAUAUUUAUUUAAAGUUAUCGUCACGUCUAAAAAAGGAAAUGCAAUUUGUCUACUUUUCGACCCGAAGUUUAAAAAGAAACCAAAGGUUUGAUAACAAAUAUUAUUUUCUCUACGAAAAGCAUGU
RNAcentral lists this unclassified non-coding RNA (340 nucleotides) under Melitaea cinxia (Glanville fritillary). RNAcentral's name for it is "misc RNA ENSMCXG00005008585.1". The record is from RNAcentral. Lineage: Eukaryota; Metazoa; Arthropoda; Insecta; Lepidoptera; Nymphalidae.